GGGAUUUUCAUGCCAUAAAUUUUGAUGCAUCGGAGCUUGGAGUGAAGCAUAGAUGGCCUCCCCCGUGGCCUUCUAGAGGUUAGCCAAACGCACUGAUGCUAGCUUCUUUAUUUGCUUCUAAUUUUUAAUUUGCAUCUUUCUUUUCGUUAGUAAAAAAAAUAAAAAUAAAAAUAAAAAUAAUAAAAAAAAAGAGAGAAGAAAAUACAAAAAGAGAGUGCGGCGCAUCAGCGACUGGCCGCGAGCGUUUGUCCGCAUAAGUAAGCGACCACUAAGAGACUGGCCGCGAGAGCAAGUGACCGCUAAGCGAUGGUCGCGAGCGAAGGCAAGCGACUGCGAAGAGAUGGUCGCGAGCGGCCGCGAAGCCAAUUCCCCGCGAGCAAAUUGGCCCGAAGACUGGCCGCGAGUGUUCGCAAGGGGCAUUUCGCGAAGGUUUUCUAGCGAGCAACGAUCGCGUGAAGCAGGGUCCGCUGAUAUACAUCGCCUGGGCUUCGCUAGCGAGCUUCAUCAGGAAUUCUCCAACAAGAUAUGCAUACUCUGAACUCUGAGACGAAGUCGAUCCAAGGGCCAGCGAGUGGUCGUUAGUGAAUAAUCUCAUGCCAAUUACAGUGGCAGACGUCGAGGCGGAAGCAAGACGAAGGCUUUCUGGUGCUGAAGCGGAAUCAGAAAGAGGCACUACAGCUGGCGAAAAAGGCAGAAUUGAACAUAUUGAAACUACGUAUCCAACCCAGUAAUCUCCCAUUGUUUCUAUGAAGAAUCAAGUUCAAUCCCCAUUACCCGGUGAUUAAUUUGAACGCUUUGUUGAUAAAUUGAUCUUCUAUGGGCUGCUCUGUUGAAAUUUCAUCAUAGGGUUGAGAAUCUGAGAUAUGCACACAAGGUGUUCGAUGGAAUGCCUGAAAGAGACCUCCUAUGAAGAUGACAUGCUCUGCAGACUUGGGGGGCAGAACUGGAGAUUACAGGGGAAUAUCAGUCCCCAAAAAGAGCUCACUAGCCUUCUCGUGAUGAUGGAAUUUCAGAGUUUGAAGAUUUUCAUGAGAAAAGAGCAGUAGCAGACAGAAGUCGUUUCGCCAGGGUAGUUUUCCUUGGCUAUUACUUCACAAAUGUACCAUGGAAUGUCCCAUAGUGCAUUCAAUUACGCGCAGGUGCCUAUAGAGGUAAUGAGACUGUUCGUCGUUAGAACAUAUGCGAGUGUGAUCAGGAGGGACCUAUUUUCAAGGUGCAGCAUUAGUUAUAAGCCAACAGCAAGCAGUCAAUCGCAGGCUUAGAUCACAAUUAUAGGGGCUCGUCAGCAUUUGCUUGAUUCACAAUGGGAUGUCCAGUGAAAUAAUGGUCAACGUACUUCUAUACGGCUUGAAAUCAUCAGGAGAAAAAUCAUUUCGCCAGGGCAUUUUUCCUUGGCUGUUGCUUCUUGGGAUCUUACAGUAGUUCAUCUAGCUAUGUACAAGUCGGCGAAGUGGUUAUUCGGCAAAGCUAACCUAAGAAGCCAGCAGGUGGCUCUAGUUAUACUUGCCAGCGAGUGGGCUUAGUGGACAGCAUGCCAAUCACGGUGGCAUUGAAAUGCCUGGUUUGGCGAUAUCAGGAUGCAUUCGUACUUUAUUUCAAGGCAGGCACGUAUGUGCAAACUAUUUCGGAAGUGGUGAACAAGUGACACGUGCAUGAAUGUAUUUUCUAAAUGAAGAAGUGCACCAGCCUCCAGCAAUUUUUCUCGGUCAAACUCUUGGCUGCUCGCAGCCAACUUUGUGUAAUGGUAAAUUAAAUCAUGCAUAGCUACAGCAUACUCUUGUCCAUUGCGAACAAUAAGGCCUUAUUAAUUAGUUAGCCUAUAUGUUUAUACAUAUUUAUGCCUACCUAGAGGCAACGUCACAAUAGCUAUCAAAGCCAAUUGUGGUUUUGAAAUACACGUGGUUGAUCAUUAUCAAUAAGGCCUACGUCUGUGGCCUUUUAUUAUGGGAAGCAUUUAUCUUAUUUCAAGACGUUCACUACAACAAAAUUGCUUAUUUAUAGCACUGGAUAAUAGCGUUUUUUAAGCAAGUGCUAUAGAUUGUAUAUAGCUUAUUCUUUGAUAGCAUUUGUAAAUUUUUAAACGCUAUUAAAAAUUUGAGCGGGAGUAGUAAGCGGGUAAUGAAAAACAUAAGCGGGCUUAAUUUUAGGUGAGUGACACUUUAAACGAAAAGCAACAACUAAGACCCCAAAAACCUCUUCUCUCUUGGUGGCCGCUCUCUCUGUCCGUUCUCUCUCGGUGGCGCUGUUUCUCUUUUCUCUCUCGGUGGCUGCUGUCUCUCUUCAUCCCCACCGCUCUCUCUCUCUCUCUCUCUCCUCUUCUCUCUUCGUUUCUUCAUAAGGAAAGCUUUGCAAAGGAUUAAAUUUCACUUUCAAGGUAACGGUUUAAACAUAUACUUGAUUCUAUUUUCUGCAAACCAGGGAAGACAUUGUUUUUCAGUUCUAUUCUUACUUGUUGCUUACAUUGCCGACAAACCAAUAUAUUUCAAUCUCUUGUUGCUUGUCACCUUUCUCUGACAGACCAUUGAUUUUUUUUUUUUUGGGUAAUUGCAAGUUUGUAUUUUUUAUUUGGUUCUUCAAUGUAUUUUCUUUACUCUUGAUUGUGUCUGAAAGAUUCAAUUUGGCUUGUUUCAGCUUAAGAUUCAAUUAGCCUUGGGCAUGUGCUGUUGUUUGUUGGGCUACUAUUUUCCUUCACUAAUCUGCAUUUGUUCAGGUUAAGAAUGAUAAAUUGAUGGUUAGAGUAAUAUAAUUUAUGGUAGUUUGUGUUAAUUUAUACGAUAAGGGUCUAAGUAAUUGGUUGUUGAGAAUUAUGAUGAAAGGAAGAGUGAAAAAGAAAGUGAAAUUUUUGGGGUGGUGUUGCUUUGGGUGUUGAAAAUUGAUGUUAGUUCCAUAUCAGUUGAGCACAUGAGAAUAGUGAAAUUACAAAUUGUUCUGUUAUCGUUCUGUUUUGAUAUGUAUUGAGUGUACUGAACUGAUGGACUGUGGUGUCCUUGCUCGAUCUGUUGGAUUUGUUUUAGGUUCAAUUUUCCCAAUCAGUUAGCUGGUGACUGAUUUUAAUACCUUAACUAUACUAAACUCAUGUCUCUUGAACUAGUUAAGUGGUUACUAGAGGACCUGGUUUGGCAGCUUGUGGAUGAGUCAAUUGGUUGAGCAGCUUGAGUUCAUAUGUCAUGAAAUUGGAAGAAAUGGCAUGAUUUAACAUAGAGAGAGUUUAUAUCUAAAUUACAUUGGUCUCAUUGAAAUCAGAGAGCAUUUUUGUUUCUUUAACUUAAGUGGUUUUUGUCAUUGCCAUUGUGAUUGUUAUUGUGUUUUUCUGCAUUCAAAUUCCUAAUGCAUAUAUUGUGGCAGCUUAUUUUUGUUUCUUUUGUGCUGGCAUAUAUGAAGUUUAUUAUGUAUUUUAUUCAUUAAUAUCUGUUAUGAAGUAAAUUAUGUACUUUAUUGAUCGAUUAGAAUUAGUUUGUUUGGUUCAAUUUUAGACAUUGCUUGCAUAAGUGUUGCAAUCUGUGCAUAAAUUUCAGGAAAAUACUUCUCUGUCAUGUGGAAAUUUCAGGAUAAACAAUCUGUGCAUAAAUUUUUUCCUGCAAUUUGAGAUAGCUAGAAAUUCAUUCCUUUUGGGCAUUCUGUUCGGAUAGAAGUGUAAGCGUAUGAAACUUUGUUUCUAUGCACUAAAUUCCAUUGAGUUUCAAGUUGCUUUUGUAAUCUACCACUGGAUGUUGUUACGGUUCUUUAGAAUUGAGCAGACUUCAUAAAUAAAAGAAGAAAAUAUCAUAACUGGGCAGAAGUGAAUUAUUUUGAUCUCAUUCUUAGCAAAGUGGCAAACUAGGUCCGGUAAGAUUAAAUUGAGGAUUCACCAAGCUGAACUGUACGUAAAAUGAUGUCCAUGAUGUCUAUGAAGCUCAGUUGAUUUCUCUUGGUGUCACUACAGUUAUACUCCCAUUGGCUUUGCUUAAAGAAGUGGCUACAUUCUAAGUUCUGUCCUUUUGGUUAUUAGGAACAAAAAGCCACCAUUUAGCAUUCUAAUUGCAAUUGUCAUUCCAAGCUUAUAUUUUGUUUCAUGAUCAUUAAAUCUUCAAAUGGAUCAAAUAUGUGAAAGUAAAACACUGAAUUAGACUUCUAUUAAUGGAAGUCUACCCUAGAAUACUUCCAGUCAAGUCGAGAGAUAGACAAAGGAUGACAGCUGGAGUGUAACAGUUUAUGUGAGAGCAAGAAAUCAUGAGAAUUUAUUAUAGCUGCAUUGAUUCUAAUGUCUCAUAUCAUGAGACAAGAAGAUCGAGACUUGUUUGAUAAGAAAAAUCAGAGGAAGAUAUUAGUUUAAAAUGAACCCUGGCUAGUUGCCUUCCCCUAUAUUAGCCGCAUUUGAGUGCUUUAAAUUUAUUGCCAAACCAUGCAUCGUAUCCAUAUCUCAUAACAUUUUUCCAGAACUGAAAACAAACUAGAGCUCUUUUUAUUUUUUUUCUAGCCGUGGCUCUGGAGACAGUAUUCUAUUUAUUUGUAGUUCUGAUGAUCCAACUCUUUAUAAAUGAAGGGUCGAAAUAUCUAUCGAUAAGCUCUGAUUUGACUACCUCCAGCAGUACCUAUUUUCUUAUGCCUGAUUUGAGUUCCUGCAGAAAGUACUUUAUCUACACUUUUAGUUGUCUCAUAGUAACAAUACAGGACCAAACUCCAGUAAUAUAUACAUAAUGUAUUUGCUUGUAACACUAAGGGGCCUAUAUUUGUUCUGGACUUCUGGUUGAUGUAGACUCUUUGCUUUCCCAAAGUGACUUGUAUGAAUAAUAUGUACUCCAUGAUGAAUAAUUAAUGGACAAUGUGGCUUAAAGUAUCCACGUAUGAUGUGAAUGUAUGAUUGGAUGCUUAGUUCUUCAGUGUGCUUGCAUUUAUCAUAGAGUGGUGGCAAAAAAAAAUAACAAAGUAUGUGCAUUUUAGAGAGGUAUAUAUAGGUAAACCCUUAAGUUCCAGUGCCAUAGAGCUAUUAGAAAAUGACCCCCAACUAAUCGUCAUCAACUUGUCCUCAGUCUUAUUUACUGUCUCACUUUUGCGCUCUUGCAAAUGGUAGAAAGUUUCUUUCUAACCAAUGAUCAUUUCUUUGAAGCUGAAGAAGAAGAAAUCUCAGGUUGGUAAUUUGGUUUCAUACAACUUUUAUGGGAAAUGGGUGAGGUGCUCGUUAAUAGUCCCAUGAGAACCAAAACAAGCCUCUCCUUCCAAGUUCUUCCAAGUACAAGGUUUUUCAACUUUCUAACUCUGAAAAGUAUUUUUGAAAUUUUCUUUUGGAUUAAAUUCUGCUUACUACCCUGUACUUUCAGGGGUUCGUCAGUUCAGUCCCUGCACUUCUAAUUUAAUCAGAAAAGUCCUCACACUCUUCAAUUUCAUCAAAUCGAUCCAUUUCCUCAUCAUUCCGUCAAUUUCCACUGUUUAGGUGCUGACGUGUCCGGACGCCAUUUGAUCUGUCAGAUUUGUGGGACCUUCCCACAUGCAAAAUUCCCAAGCUACCCCUCCAAUAUAUCUCCCUCCCCUUUCCCACCCGAACACCUAAUUCCCCAGAACCCCGUCUUCUCUUCUUCUUCUUCUCAGAGCUCUUCUUCUUUUCAGCUCUUAGUUAUGGUUCCUCACUUCCUCCACCGAUCAACAUGGCCGGAAGAAGAUGAGAGAGAGACUGAUAAACAAGAGGGGGUAUGGGUUCAUUCUUCAACCUCUCAUCAAUGUCCUCCCUCGCAGCCAAAGAUCAUGCUCACAGCAAACCUAGAAAAUUUAAGUAUUUGGGUGUGCGAAUUAACCCAAUUUGGUUGAGAUGAGUCCUCUAGAUUCAACUAAGAUGCAGAAAAACCAAAUCUGAACAAAAUUCAAAUCAAGAUGCAUGUAAACCCAACAUGAAAACCAAAACCAAAGAUAUAGAUCUCUUCCCAAAUCAAAAUUUCAUUCUUCUACAAAAUUUCGUUCUUCCCAAAUCCAAAUCGGAAGCUCAUUACCAACCACACCCAUCCCAAGAAGUUCAAGCUCGUCUGCAGCUCCAACGGCGCAUUCCACCCCCGGCCACCGUCUGGGAAGCUCCGCUACGUCGGCGGCGAGACUUGGAUCAUCUCCGUCGACCUGACCAUUGCAUUCUCCAAGCUCCAGUCGAAGAUUUCCGAUCUCUCCCCUAACUCCCCGACUCCGGAUCGAGCUCCUGUGCCACCCACACGUCAACUCCGACGACGACGUCCGCCACAUGGUCGAGAGAGAGAGCUGAAGAGUUGAGCGACGAUCAACAAUUCACUUCUCUUCAGGUAACUCCAAUUUUCUUCUCUUCAAAUUCAAUCAAGAUCUAAAUCCUUCCACCCCUUGUCUGAUCCAAUUCUUUUCUCCACAGUCAACGAUUCACGAUCACAACUAGGAUCUCGGGUGCUGGAUUUGCAGGUGAAAGAAAUCUCCGAUGGAAUGGACGACGGUGCAGCAUCUCGAUCUACGACACGUCGCGCGGAGUAAUAACCCCUGCAGCCUCAUGUCGUCAUAGACCCUGACCUGGGUGGAGGAUGGGAAGGCAGUGGUUAAGAAACACAGUGACGAAUCGCUGAGGAAGAUGGUGUUGAAGCAGCAAUUGUUGGCCAAGCAACCGUGUUUGGUCCGUGGGUUUGGUUUUGGUGAGAGUGAUAUGGAAGUUGGUAGCAAUCAUGAUGAACCCCCAUUUUCACUCUCAUAGUCUAUGGGCAUUUUGGGAAUUUUACAUGUGGAAAGGUCCCACAAAUCUGACAGAUCAGACGGCGUCUGGACACGUCAGCACCUAAACAGUGGAAAUUGACGGAAUGAUGAGGAAAUGGAUCGAUUUGAUGAAAUUGAAGAGUGCGAGGACUUUUCUGAUUAAAUUAGAAGUGCAUGGACUGAACUGACGAACCCCUGAAAGUACAGGGUAGUAAGCAGAAUUUAAUCCUUUUCUUUUUACCAAGUAUGAAUAUGCUAGCUAGGAGUUUAGUUGAAUUCAUCUGUCUCUUUGUUAGUUGGUUAAGUAGUUAAUAUUGCCAUACUGUUUCUGACUUUCUUCUGUGAACAGCUGUUAUUGCUUUAAUGUAUUUCUCUGUGGCUCUAACCAUAGUGUUUCUAGAUUCAAUGUUUCUGAAUCGAUUUUUCAUUGUAUCAACCAUUUGGGGUAGCAUUUUCGUUCUUUCUCAUUCAAGUGCGAACAGAAAUUCACCAACUGUAAUUAAGCAAGAUGGAGUUGGUGGGUGGGAGUACUGAGAAGUUGUUUGUUUUUCCUUUUGCUCUCCGUAUUGGUAUUUGGUCUUACUGUAAUAUCAUUAGGGCAGCUCGAUCUCAUUGUUCUCUGAAGUUCAUGACUCAGAAAACCUGGCAUUUGGAUUAGAUGUGAAAGAGUGACUCAAAUGAGUUGCAGAUGGCAGGUAUGAUGCGAGAUUUGCUUUGAUGGAUUGGUUUGUUUUGAUUUUUGAGGUCCAAACCAAACCAAAUUGAACCGUUAUGUUAUGAACUUAUGAUAAGUCUGGUCUCUGGUUCUAAAAUAACAAGUUAAAUGCAUUUGAGAGAAUUUGGUAAACCUUUAAGUUCUCGAACCAGAGAGCUAUUAGAAAAUGCCCUUCAAGUUUUGGGUAAAUCGUCGUCAACUUGUCUCUCAGUCUUAUGUACCAUCUCAACUUCUCUAAUCAUGAUUUUUGUCUUCU
This is a long non-coding RNA of Rosa chinensis, 7640 nucleotides long. RefSeq lists it as uncharacterized. The record is from RefSeq and is a predicted model, not a curated record. Lineage: Eukaryota; Viridiplantae; Streptophyta; Magnoliopsida; Rosales; Rosaceae. The transcript has 3 exons.